GAAGGUAUAGCUUAAGUGGUAGAGUGCAUGCUUAGCAUGCAGGAGGUCCUGGGUUCAAUCCCCAGUACCUCCU
This 73-nucleotide transfer RNA is filed under the name Camelus bactrianus (Bactrian camel). It matches the Rfam family "tRNA". Rfam says of the family: Transfer RNA (tRNA) molecules are approximately 80 nucleotides in length. Their secondary structure includes four short double-helical elements and three loops (D, anti-codon, and T loops). Further hydrogen bonds mediate the characteristic L-shaped molecular structure. tRNAs have two regions of fundamental functional importance: the anti-codon, which is responsible for specific mRNA codon recognition, and the 3' end, to which the tRNAs corresponding amino acid is attached (by aminoacyl-tRNA synthetases). tRNAs cope with the degeneracy of the genetic code in two manners: having more than one tRNA (with a specific anti-codon) for a particular amino acid; and 'wobble' base-pairing, i.e. permitting non-standard base-pairing at the 3rd anti-codon position. The record is from Rfam by way of RNAcentral. RNAcentral also lists the same sequence under 2 other names. Lineage: Eukaryota; Metazoa; Chordata; Mammalia; Artiodactyla; Camelidae.